AUUGAACGCUGGCGGCAGGCCUAACACAUGCAAGUCGAGCGGAUCGGCGGACGCGGGAGGAAGGCCUAGGAAUCUGACUGGGAGUGGGGGAGAAGGUCAGGAAACGGGCGCGAAUACCGCAUACUCUCAGAAGAGGCUAUGUCGGAUUAGCGAGUUGGUGGGGUACAGGCCUACCAAGACGACGAUCCGUAACUGUUCUGAGAGGAUGAUCAGUAACACUGGAACUGAGACACGGUCCAGAAUCCUACGGGAGGCAGCAGUGGGGAAUAUUGGACAAUGGGCGAAAGCCUGAUCCAGCCAUGCCGCGUGUGUGAAGAAGGCCUUCGGAUUGUAAAGUACUUUCAGUUGGGAGGCGUUACCAGCAGAAUAAGCACCGGCUAACUUCGUGCCAGUCGCCGCGGUAAUAC
RNAcentral lists this ribosomal RNA (407 nucleotides) under uncultured bacterium. RNAcentral's name for it is "partial 16S ribosomal RNA". It matches the Rfam family "Bacterial small subunit ribosomal RNA", at positions 30 to 526 of the family's 1533-position model. The record is from RNAcentral.